UAGUCCACGCCGUAAACGAUGUGCACUAGAUAAGGGAGGUAUUGACCCCUUCCGUGUCGUAGCUAACGCAUUAAGUGCACCGCCUGGGGAGUACGGUCGCAAGACUAAAACUCAAAUGAAUUGACGGGGGCCCGCACAAGCGGUGGAGCAUGUGGUUUAAUUCGAUGCAACGCGAAGAACCUUACCUACUCUUGACAUCCAGAGAAGCUUGAAGAGAUUCGAGUGUGCCUUCGGGAACUCUGAGACAGGUGCUGCAUGGCUGUCGUCAGCUCGUGUUGUGAAAUGUUGGGUUAAGUCCCGCAACGAGCGCAACCCUUAUCCUUGUUUGCCAGCACGUAAUGGUGGGAACUCCAGGGAGACUGCCGGUGAUAAACCGGGAGGAAGGUGGGGACGACGUCAAGGUCAUCAUGGCCCUUACGAGUAGGGGCUACACACGUGCUACAAUGGCGUAUACAGAGGGCUGCCAACUCGCGAGAGUGAGCGAAUCCCAGAAA
Molecule: ribosomal RNA, 494 nt
Filed under: uncultured bacterium
Lineage: Bacteria
Description: bacterial SSU rRNA
Rfam family: Bacterial small subunit ribosomal RNA
Source: RNAcentral